Molecule: small nuclear RNA, 107 nt
Organism: Hyaena hyaena (striped hyena)
Lineage: Eukaryota; Metazoa; Chordata; Mammalia; Carnivora; Hyaenidae
Source: RefSeq, a predicted model, not a curated record
GUGCUCGCUUCAGCAGCAUAUAUACUAAAAUGGGAAUGAUACAGAGAAGAUUAGCAUGGCCCCUGCAUGAGAAUGACACGCAGAUUCAUGAAGCGUUCCAUAUUAAA